This 317-nucleotide unclassified non-coding RNA is filed under the name Fraxinus excelsior (European ash). RNAcentral describes it as "partial external transcribed spacer". Lineage: Eukaryota; Viridiplantae; Streptophyta; Magnoliopsida; Lamiales; Oleaceae. The record is from RNAcentral.
GCCUGUUCAUUGGAUGAUCGAAUCUCGCAUUUCGUCAUCUCGCUUUCGGUUCCCUGUGUUGCAUACCUUCGCGACGGUAUCCUGUCGGCUAGAAUCGCCCCGUUUCACCCGACGUUGCGAGUAACAUCGCGACCGAAGGCGAACCGAAAAGCAUUCAUCGCGUUCCACCCCGUUCGCGUUACGCGCUGCGGGGACCGGCCCACGAUGACGUGCUCGAAUUCUCGGAUGCGGAACACAAUGUGGGCACGAGGACGUCAAUCCUCCGUUUGCCCCCGAACAAGCGUUCUACGCUCUGUGCGAACGACGUUCUUCCUCGU